CUACCGCACUCCUACGGGAGGCAGCAGUGGGGAAUAUUGCACAAUGGGCGCAAGCCUGAUGCAGCCAUGCCGCGUGUAUGAAGAAGGCCUUCGGGUUGUAAAGUACUUUCAGCAGUGAGGAAGGUGGGGUAUGUUAAUAGCAUACUCAUUUGACGUUAGCUGCAGAAGAAGCACCGGCUAACUCCGUGCCAGCAGCCGCGGUAAUACGGAGGGUGCGAGCGUUAAUCGGAAUUACUGGGCGUAAAGCGCAUGCAGGUGGUUUGUUAAGUCAGAUGUGAAAGCCCGGGGCUCAACCUCGGAAUUGCAUUUGAAACUGGCAAACUAGAGUACUGUAGAGGGGGUAGAAUUUCAGGUGUAGCGGUGAAAAUGCGUAGAGAUCUGAAGGAAUACCGGUGGCGAAGGCGGCCCCCUGGACAGAUACUGACACUCAGAUGCGAAAGCGUGGGGAGCAAACAGGAUUAGAUACCCUGGUAG
Molecule: ribosomal RNA, 474 nt
Filed under: uncultured bacterium
Lineage: Bacteria
Description: bacterial SSU rRNA
Rfam family: Bacterial small subunit ribosomal RNA
Source: RNAcentral